GGCGCCGCUCGUGGGGGGCC
Molecule: microRNA, 20 nt
Filed under: Mus musculus (house mouse)
Lineage: Eukaryota; Metazoa; Chordata; Mammalia; Rodentia; Muridae
Description: microRNA 5105
Source: RNAcentral